This 429-nucleotide ribosomal RNA is filed under the name uncultured bacterium. RNAcentral's name for it is "bacterial SSU rRNA". It matches the Rfam family "Bacterial small subunit ribosomal RNA", at positions 355 to 775 of the family's 1533-position model. The record is from RNAcentral.
UGAGGAAUCUUGCGCAAUGGGGGAAACCCUGACGCAGCAACGCCGCGUGAGUGAGGAAGGUCUUCGGAUCGUAAAGCUCUGUCAGUUGGAAAGAAAUGUCUGAGAGUCAAUACCUUUCAGGCUUGACGGUACCAACAGAGGAAGCACCGGCUAACUCCGUGCCAGCAGCCGCGGUAAUACGGGGGGUGCAAGCGUUGUUCGGAAUUAUUGGGCGUAAAGAGCGUGUAGGCGGGCGGAUAUGUCAGAUGUGAAAGCCCCGGGCUUAACCCGGGAAGUGCAUUUGAAACUGGCCGGCUCGAGUAGGGGAGAGGGAAGUGGAAUUCCUGGUGUAGAGAUGAAAUUCGUAGAUAUCAGGAGGAACACCGGUGGCGAAGGCGACUUCCUGGCCCUAUACUGACGCUGAGACGCGAGAGCGUGGUUAGCAAACAG